This 94-nucleotide transfer RNA is filed under the name Armillaria gallica. It matches the Rfam family "tRNA". Rfam says of the family: Transfer RNA (tRNA) molecules are approximately 80 nucleotides in length. Their secondary structure includes four short double-helical elements and three loops (D, anti-codon, and T loops). The record is from Rfam by way of RNAcentral. Lineage: Eukaryota; Fungi; Basidiomycota; Agaricomycetes; Agaricales; Physalacriaceae.
GGGGGCAUAGCUCAGUUGGGAGAGCAACAGACUGAAGUUCAGACUGCGAAUCCUAUUCUUCUGGAGGUCCCCAGUUCAAUCCUGGGUGCCCCCA